GAUGAACGCUGGCGGCGUGCCUAAUACAUGCAAGUCGAGCGAACAGACGAGGAGCUUGCUCCUCUGACGUUAGCGGCGGACGGGUGAGUAACACGUGGAUAACCUACCUAUAAGACUGGGAUAACUUCGGGAAACCGGAGCUAAUACCGGAUAACAUGUUGAACCGCAUGGUUCAACAGUGAAAGACGGUUUUGCUGUCACUUAUAGAUGGAUCCGCGUCGCAUUAGCUAGUUGGUAAGGUAACGGCUUACCAAGGCAACGAUGCGUAGCCGACCUGAGAGGGUGAUCGGCCACACUGGAACUGAGACACGGUCCAGACUCCUACGGGAGGCAGAAGUAGGGAAUCUUCCGCAAUGGGCGAAAGCCUGACGGAGCAACGCCGCGUGAGUGAAGAAGGUCUUCGGGUCGUAAAACUCUGUUAGUAGGGAAGAACAAAUGUGUAAGUAACUAUGCACGUCUUGACGGUACCUAAUCAGAAAGCCACGGCUAACUACGUG
This 497-nucleotide ribosomal RNA is filed under the name uncultured bacterium. RNAcentral's name for it is "partial 16S ribosomal RNA". It matches the Rfam family "Bacterial small subunit ribosomal RNA", at positions 28 to 507 of the family's 1533-position model. The record is from RNAcentral.